AGAGUUUGAUCCUGGCUCAGGAUGAACGCUAGCGGCAGGCUUAACACAUGCAAGUCGAGGGGUAUAAUUCUUCGGAACUAGAGACCGGCGCACGGGUGCGUAACGCGUAUGCAAUCUACCUUUUGCAGAGGGAUAGCCCAGAGAAAUUUGGAUUAAUACCUCAUAGUAUGUGAGAAUGGCAUCAUUUUCGCAUUAAAGUCACAACGGCAAAAGAUGAGCAUGCGUCCCAUUAGCUAGUUGGUAAGGUAACGGCUUACCAAGGCAACGAUGGGUAGGGGUCCUGAGAGGGAGAUCCCCCACACUGGUACUGAGACACGGACCAGACUCCUACGGGAGGCAGCAGUGAGGAAUAUUGGACAAUGGGCGCAAGCCUGAUCCAGCCAUGCCGCGUGCAGGAUGACGGUCCUAUGGAUCGUAAACUGCUUUUGUACAGGAAGAAACACUGGUUCGUGAACCAGCUUGACGGUACUGUAAGAAUAAGGAUCGGCUAACUCCGUGCCAGCAGCCGCGGUAAUACGGAGGAUCCAAGCGUUAUCCGGAAUCAUUGGGUUUAAAGGGUCCGUAGGCGGUUUAGUAAGUCAGUGGUGAAAGCCCAUCGCUCAACGGUGGAACGGCCAUUGAUACUGCUAGACUUGAAUUAUUAGGAAGUAACUAGAAUAUGUAGUGUAGCGGUGAAAUGCGUAGA
Molecule: ribosomal RNA, 685 nt
Filed under: uncultured bacterium
Lineage: Bacteria
Description: bacterial SSU rRNA
Rfam family: Bacterial small subunit ribosomal RNA
Source: RNAcentral